This 60-nucleotide transfer RNA is filed under the name Herbertus dicranus. RNAcentral's name for it is "partial transfer RNA-Leu". Lineage: Eukaryota; Viridiplantae; Streptophyta; Jungermanniopsida; Jungermanniales; Herbertaceae. The record is from RNAcentral.
UAGACGUACGAAAAUCCGUUGGCUUUUUAGACCGUGAGGGUUCAAGUCCCUCUACCCCCA